GACGAACGCUGGCGGCGUGCUUAACACAUGCAAGUCGAACGAUGAACCCGGAGCUUGCUCCGGUGGAUUAGUGGCGAACGGGUGAGUAACACGUGGGUGAUCUGCCCUGCACUUCGGGAUAAGCCUGGGAAACUGGGUCUAAUACCGGAUAGGACUCCGGACUGCAUGGUCUGGGGUGGAAAGCUUUUGCGGUGUGGGAUGGGCCCGCGGCCUAUCAGCUUGUUGGUGGGGUGAUGGCCUACCAAGGCGACGACGGGUAGCCGGCCUGAGAGGGUGACCGGCCACACUGGGACUGAGAUACGGCCCAGACUCCUACGGGAGGCAGCAGUGGGGAAUAUUGCACAAUGGGCGCAAGCCUGAUGCAGCGACGCCGCGUGAGGGAUGACGGCCUUCGGGUUGUAAACCUUUUUCAGCAUCGACGAAGCGAAAGUGACGGUAGGUGCAGAAGAAGGACCGGCCAACUACGUGCCAGCCGCCGCGGUAA
RNAcentral lists this ribosomal RNA (484 nucleotides) under uncultured bacterium. Its description in RNAcentral is "partial 16S ribosomal RNA". It matches the Rfam family "Bacterial small subunit ribosomal RNA", at positions 28 to 523 of the family's 1533-position model. The record is from RNAcentral.